This 443-nucleotide long non-coding RNA is filed under the name Gallus gallus (chicken). Lineage: Eukaryota; Metazoa; Chordata; Aves; Galliformes; Phasianidae. The record is from RNAcentral.
CAUCCGCCCUGCAGCAGUCAGACAGGAGGAGGGGACCUCAGGGAUGGAGAGAAAUGAAGCUGGGAGAUCUGACCCGGUAACGUAGGAUGGCAAUGGGUUGUGUCAAGCAGGAAUUGCUUUAAUACAGUGCUGGGAGCUCAGGGGAUCUCUGCACCCAAUGUGCACCCCGAGGGGAGCAGUGAGUGCAGGUCUGUAGGCAUAGUGUGUAUGUAUUCAGUGCAUUGCUGAGACAUUGGUUGCAUACUGUGUCAUAAAAUGUCGCGAGGGUGUCUGUGCCCCAUCUGGUGGCCGUUGGAUGAAGGCCGGCACUCAUCCUCACAAAGGCUCGGAGUGUUCCUCGCUGUGCACUUCUAAGUGCCCUUAAGGGGGUGUACCCAAAUGGUCCUCUGCUGGCGUUGUGUGCAGCAGAAGCAUCUGCUUUGCAUCCUUAUGAAGAUAAGGGC